GACGAACGCUGGCGGCGUGCCUAAUACAUGCAAGUAGAACGCACAGUUUAUACCGUAGCUUGCUACACCAUAGACUGUGAGUUGCGAACGGGUGAGUAACGCGUAGGUAACCUGCCUGGUAGCGGGGGAUAACUAUUGGAAACGAUAGCUAAUACCGCAUAAUAUUAAUUAUUGCAUGAUAAUUAAUUGAAAGGUGCAAUUGCACCACUACCAGAUGGACCUGCGUUGUAUUAGCUAGUAGGUGAGGUAACGGCUCACCUAGACGACGAUACAUAGCCGACCGGAGAGGGUGAUCGGCCACACUGGGACUGAGACACGGCCCAGACUCCUACGGGAGGCAGCAGUAGGGAGUCUUCGGCAAUGGACGAAAGUCUGACCGAGCAACGCCGCGUGAGUGAAGAAGGUUGUCGGAUCGUAAAGCUCUGUUGUAAGAGAAGAACGGGUGUGAGAGUGGAAAGUUCACACUGCGACGGUAUCUUACCAGAAAGGGACGGCUAACUACGUG
This 505-nucleotide ribosomal RNA is filed under the name uncultured bacterium. Its description in RNAcentral is "partial 16S ribosomal RNA". It matches the Rfam family "Bacterial small subunit ribosomal RNA", at positions 28 to 507 of the family's 1533-position model. The record is from RNAcentral.